Mus musculus (house mouse) is the source of this 1451-nucleotide long non-coding RNA. RefSeq annotates it as predicted gene, 34059. Lineage: Eukaryota; Metazoa; Chordata; Mammalia; Rodentia; Muridae. The record is from RefSeq and is a predicted model, not a curated record. The transcript is spliced from 4 exons.
CCCUGUUGUACUCUGUGAUGUCACAGUGUAGUAGUGACAACUGCUCUUGGUGUGUUUGUUCAGUGCCAUGGACACGUUGGCAACACUGAGCAGGUUACUUGGGAGAGAGGACAGAGAGCACAGAGACACCAGAGAGGAGCAGACGGGUGCUGGCCUUCAGACGCAUGAUAAACAGCAAGAGAUACGUGAUGGUGGCAGGGUGCAGUGAGCUCUGGGCAAAACCUGGGAGCUUCCUGGAGGAGGUGGGCUGGAGCUGGGCUUUCCAGAAAUGGGAAUCAGGAGCUGGGUCCUCUGAGAAGCAACUGGACUUCUGUCCUUGCCAUAGUUGCAGAAAGUCAACUUAUCCAGAACAUGAGUUCAUUUAUCUCAGAAAUCAAGAGCUGGGAAGGGCACAGAUGUUUGCUGAGAGCUCCUGGCUUUUAUCCUUAUUGUUGGGCGAAGAAGCCAUGAAGAAGGGACAGGUUAGUGAAGUGGCCUCAACUCAGGGCAGGAAAUCACUGUACUUCCUGCCCAGUGGAUUCCUUUAGGAGCAGUGGCUAUCUGACACUAAUAAGAGGACAAGACAACUGCUCUGUCCAAGUCUUAUGACCUUAGGUUUCUGAGUCACCAGAUUUGGGUGGCAGACAGUUCUUGAGUGCAGAAAGCACUGGGUGAGCCAGUGGCCAGCACAAAGACUUGCUCUUAGCUGUCACCUCUGGAUCUCUGGGCUGUGAAUGACUCAUGAGUGUAGUGACCAUGGUAUACCUCUACAUGGCUGCUCUGUCUACAACCAUGUGCAGUGUGGCCUAGACAGGAAUCAGGGCAUCUAUAUCAUGUGAACACAUGUAGACUUUGCCAUGUGUUUCUCUGAAAGCACAUUCUUCAAUGUUCUGAAGCCAAGUUAGAGCCGAUGCAGCUGUGAAUAUGUCUGAGGAGGCUGCGGCCUUGGUCUCUUGAAGCAUGUGCUAUGGGAGCCAGAGGAAACCAUGUCCACCUCUCUACAGACCUAUAUGAAAAUUGACCUCCACAGCCUGAGUUUUCAGAAGCAUCCAGGGGUUCCUCAGAAGUCAUCUGUACCUCCCCCCCUCACUGAAGGGCAGCGGCACAUGAAGAAGGUAGAGAAAUGAUCCCUCAGCUACAGAAGACGACCUGUGAGAGGAAUGAGCUGUGUGGUUUCCUGGCCCAUUAUACAAAGAUUUGAACAACAGGAUCACUUUCAGGAAGCUCAGAUAUUCACCAUGGCAGUCAUUCAUCGCUAUGAAGAAAUGCAUUGGGUGCAUAGUCAUAUGUCCUUCGUGGCUUCGGUCUGAAUGGGAAAGAGUGUGCUAUUGAAGGCCAGUAGUCAGAGUUGGGAUCUUUGAGGAGUUGACCUGCUGAGCUUGCUUUGCAACUCAAUCCAGCUGAAACAAAGGAUGGGUCUGUGGGCUUUCCCUAUAUAUCCCAGUGCUAAAUAUUAAACUUUGAGCCUUGAU